Molecule: long non-coding RNA, 2181 nt
Organism: Chinchilla lanigera (long-tailed chinchilla)
Lineage: Eukaryota; Metazoa; Chordata; Mammalia; Rodentia; Chinchillidae
Source: Ensembl
AAAAAUAGAAGGCUGACUUCGAGUUUCUCCGCGUACUUGCAUAGUGAUAGGGGCUACACUGGUCAAUAGAUUAGUCUAUUAAUAUUAUGAACUGGAAAGCGUAAUACUUUCUGGGAGUACGUGUUUCUCACUUCGAAGUCAUGCUCUGGGUAUAUAUAAUUCAAACCCACAGCUUUCUAGACUUCAGCAAAUAAUUUCGUAAUAUAAGACACCUAAAAUACUCAUUUGCUGGACUCCUACUAGGAGUCUUAAGUUAUAUUCAGAAAGUCAAUAUUUACCUAACGCACUAAUGACUUUUCCCAUUCUCAGAUUCAACUCUGGGCUGCAGUGUGGUGCAAUCUUGAGCUUGAUAAAAAUCACUGCUGUCACUGGAAACAACGCAUUUCUAUAGAAUGCCGUCACCUCUUAAUCUGAUUUCACUAAUUGUUGGAAGUCACGGUAUUCUCACUGAGUCAUAAAGCGUGCAGACGUAACAAAAUAAAAUAAAAUUCUUCUGGGUAGGAUGUAGCUCAAUAGUACAGCACUUACCUACCAUGCACGGGGCCCUGGGUGCAACCUUAGCUCCACCAACCAAGCAAACAAAGUGUACUUUAACUCAGGGUCCUCCCGAAGGCUCACCUGUUCAAUCUACUUUGCAACCCCAGACAACUCGACGCACAAAACAGAAGCUACGGCCCUCUCCUACUGAGCAAAGUAACACUAAAAAGUUCCUGCAAGUCUCAAAGGAGGAGGGCAUCUCUCUAAAGGAGCAGCAGCACAGUGUAAAUUCCAGGUUAUCCUUACCAGAAAGAGGGGACAUCUUUGGAAAAGAUAUGUUAAUAUACUCAAAAUUACAUUCGUAUUUACAGGAAGCAUGAAGUAACAGAAAAGAGCUAAGCAGCUAAUAUGUGAGAUUAAUGUUUAAAAUUCUAUUUUACUUUCAACGCAUCUGUUAUUCCCUAGCAGGAAUUGCCAGGCCCUCACAGUGAAAAUCUGAGUUCUGAUAGACACAGGAAUAUUGUAAAUGCAAACACUCACAGAGAUUGUUUUCUGUUUGCUUUAUGAAGUAAUUAGAAAUAUAAAUGUUUCCUUAACAGAGUUUAUAGCCUAUGAUCAGUAAGUUAUACAAAUACAUGUUUUUUCCAAAAAAUUAAAUUUUACAUAUAUAUUCACAUUAAUGAAAUCUACCAUGACAUGCAUUUUUGCUUAUGGGUAAAACUAAAAUGCAAUAACAAUCACUGUCCCUUAAUGAGCCAGAACUGAUUUUAUGGCUACAAUUAAUUUGAAUAUUAUUUAUUUAAUAAUUGUUGUAUUAAAAAACAAAGGAAAAAGUAAGAUGUUUUAGAGUCUAUAAGGGUAAAUAAAAAAUAAAAGAGCUGCUAUAGACCAUGACUAUCAGAGGGAGUAUAAUGUGCGGUCAGACAAGUGGAAACCAGAUGAAAUGGGUGGAUUCACAGGGGCCCCUUUUAGAGGGUUUGAAGGUGAGUUCAUGAAAAUGAUUCUUCAAACAUUAGGUACUGAGUGCUAAUAGUGACUCCUUGUGGUGCAGAGCUCUAUUAUCAAAGUUGUGGCUAAAACAGGAAGUUUCAAAAAGUUACAGUUUUGGAAAACAGAGGUUUAGAUUUUAGAUGUAAUACAAAGAUAUAAAAAGACAGUAUUCUAGGGAUACAAGGGAUUUCCCAUCAUCUAGUCUCCAGAGUGUCUUUUAUGAGUAGGAUUUGGGCCUCAGCUGAGUAAAUGGCUUGUGAAGUCACAAUGUGAGUUCAAGGCAGAGGCAAGACUGGAACCCAAAUUUGCUAACAUACAGAGCUGGACCUUCUUCUUUUGAAUAGACUGUAAAACACUUUAGAUUCACAGAACUCUUUCUAUGGGAAUUGCUUACAGAAGAAUCCAAGCUAUAAUGCAGAGAACCACUUGCUUCGGUCAAAUAGGAAAGGAGAGUUCAAAGAGUAUGGGGGCCUUGACACUUGACGGAGAAGUACAACCCUCAACCACUGUGUCUUCCAGGGACCCUCAGAGGACUCCAAGAGCCCCUAAUGCAAUUGAAAACUUCAGAAAUAUCAAAUCAUUUCUGUGCCUUCUAACCAAAUGAAGCAUAAGACGGAAUACUUUAAGUAACAACAAUUUCUGAAAAGAAUAAAGCCUUUGAGAAAAAGUUUUAACAAUAAAGUAGUUAUGUCUUCUUGUGAAAAAGAUAAUGUG